Molecule: ribosomal RNA, 484 nt
Filed under: uncultured bacterium
Lineage: Bacteria
Description: partial 16S ribosomal RNA
Rfam family: Bacterial small subunit ribosomal RNA
Source: RNAcentral
AUUGAACGCUAGCGGGAUGCUUUACACAUGCAAGUCGAACGGCAGCGCGGACUUCGGUCUGGCGGCGAGUGGCGAACGGGUGAGAAAUGUAUCGGAACGUGCCCAGUAGCGGGGGAUAACUACGCGAAAGCGUAGCUAAUACCGCAUACGCCCUACGGGGGAAAGAGGGGGAUGGAAAGACCUUGCACUAUUGGAGGGCCCGACAUCGGAUUAGCUAGUUGGUGGGGUAACGGCUCACCAAGGCGACGACCCGUAGCUGGUUUGAGAGGACGACCAGCCACACUGGGACUGAGACACGGCCCAGACUCCUACGGGAGGCAGCAGUGGGGAAUUUUGGACAAAGGGGGCAACCCUGAUCCAGCCAUCCCGCGUGUGCGAUGAAGGCCUUCGGGUUGUAAAGCACUUUUGGCAGGAAAGAAACGUCGCGGGCUAAUACCCCGUGGAACUGACGGUACCUGCAGAAUAAGCACCGGCUAACUACGUG